RNAcentral lists this long non-coding RNA (871 nucleotides) under Cicer arietinum (chickpea). Its description in RNAcentral is "long non-coding RNA (CARI_LNC000965)". Lineage: Eukaryota; Viridiplantae; Streptophyta; Magnoliopsida; Fabales; Fabaceae. The record is from RNAcentral.
AGUUGAUCUCUAUAUACCACUUUUCUACAAAGACAAAUAUGAAAACAACGUAAGCCAUUGUCAAAUAAACUGAAGGAAAGUGCAUCAAUUCGAAUUCUUGAAUCCAAUACUUUACAAUAUUUAAUAUUUUACUUCGACAAACUUCUUCAAUUUCAAACAAUGUGUGAUCACCUUCAAGAACUACAGUCGUGCAAGUAAUUAACAAAAAAUAACACAAUAAAAUAAGUACUCAUUACUAAAAUGUACUAAAUAUAUUAUACCUAUUCUUAAUUAAAAACUUUAAUUAAUUAAAAUAUUCCUCUUCUUUUCAUAUCUUAGGAGUCAUAUGGUGUGUUCGUACUGUGUCAACACCGAAGUAACGAAGGGUCCUCUAGGGAACUCAUGCUGCUGGACCUGCUAUUCGGCUGCCUAGUCCUCUGCUUCCUCAUCAUCCUCUGUUGUCUCAUGUCUUACGAUGGUCUAUCUUCUCAGGCUCCUCCGUCUGCACAAGUUUUGAACAUCCUCAUCAAGUUCCUGAGAUCUAAAAACCAUGCCUGCGACGAUGUUGACAGGGUGGACAAAUACAAACACCAUGGACGGCCAGUCUCAUACAUCUGCCAAUUAGAUGUCGUAAGUGGGACUAUUUCGCUUACGGAUGAUAGUGCAAAUGACUCAUCCUAGCCACUUACAUAAAAAUAAUAAUUAAAAUAAACAUAUCAAUAAUUUAGAUUUUUCAUGUAUUUUUUGUGAGUAUCGAUAGGGUUUGAGUCCCAUUGUGGAUUUACGGGUGCGUGGAAUCAUAUGCAAGACCCAAAUUACAUAUAAUUUUAGGCCAAAUUUCUCUAUUUAAUACUUAAAUAUAUUGACAUUUUUCUGAAAUUUUAUAACUUCU